RNAcentral lists this ribosomal RNA (509 nucleotides) under Lentzea albidocapillata. RNAcentral describes it as "bacterial SSU rRNA". It matches the Rfam family "Bacterial small subunit ribosomal RNA", at positions 382 to 902 of the family's 1533-position model. Lineage: Bacteria; Bacillati; Actinomycetota; Actinomycetes; Pseudonocardiales; Pseudonocardiaceae. The record is from RNAcentral.
CCUGAUGCAGCGACGCCGCGUGAGGGAUGACGGCCUUCGGGUUGUAAACCUCUUUCAGCAGGGACGAAGCGCAAGUGACGGUACCUGCAGAAGAAGCACCGGCUAACUACGUGCCAGCAGCCGCGGUAAUACGUAGGGUGCGAGCGUUGUCCGGAAUUAUUGGGCGUAAAGAGCUCGUAGGCGGUUUGUCGCGUCGAACGUGAAAACUUGGGGCUUAACUCCAAGCUUGCGGUCGAUACGGGCAGACUUGAGUUCGGCAGGGGAGACUGGAAUUCCUGGUGUAGCGGUGAAAUGCGUAGAUAUCAGGAGGAACACCGGUGGCGAAGGCGGGUCUCUGGGCCGAUACUGACGCUGAGGAGCGAAAGCGUGGGGAGCGAACAGGAUUAGAUACCCUGGUAGUCCACGCCGUAAACGGUGGGUGCUAGGUGUGGGGGGCUUCCACGCCCUCUGUGCCGCAGCUAACGCAUUAAGCACCCCGCCUGGGGAGUACGGCCGCAAGGCGAAAACUC